Fukomys damarensis (Damara mole-rat) is the source of this 265-nucleotide long non-coding RNA. RefSeq lists it as uncharacterized. The record is from RefSeq and is a predicted model, not a curated record. The transcript has 3 exons. Lineage: Eukaryota; Metazoa; Chordata; Mammalia; Rodentia; Bathyergidae.
GCCAGCCCCCGCCUCCACAGCCGCCCCGCGCCAGCUGGAGGUCUUUAUACUGACCUACAUCUGAGACAGGGUGGACUUGAGCUUGCCUUUUCCACUGUCAGUCUCCUGGGUGCUGGGAUUACAGGUGCCAGGGAUCAACCCAGGGCUCAGCAUGCUAAGUUCUACCAUUGAGAUAUACUCCCAGCCCCAUGAAAUUUAAUGUUUAAUACAUAUUACUGGAUUUAUUUGCUGGUCAGUUUGGUUUGUUUGGGAUUCUGCGUAUCUA